CUAUCACGUUGGCGUCGUCGUCGUCCGAAUACUUUUAGUUUUCGCACUCUAACUUUAGUAAAAGUGAAUGGAAAUCUAUGAAAUUUUAACACAAGGUUUAUGACCACAAAAGGAAGGUUGGUAUUGAUUUUGGGAGUUUUGGUCCCAACAUUUUAGGAAUUAGGGGCCAAAAAGGGCCCAAAUAAGCAUUUUCUUGGUUUUCGCACUAUAACUUUAGUUUAAGUUAAUAGAAAUCUAUGAAAUUUUGACACAAGGUUUAUGACCACAAAAGAACGGUUGGGAUUGAUUUUGGGAGUUUUGGUUUCAACAGUUUAGGAAUUAGGGGCCAAAAAAGGGCCCAAAUAAGCAUUAUUCUUGGUUUUCGCACAAUAACUUUAGUUUAAGUAAAUAGAAAUCAAUGAAAUUUAAAUACAAUGUUAAUGACUACAAAAGGAAGGUUGGUAUUGAUUUUGGGAGUUUAGGUCGCAACAGUUUAGGAAUUAGGGGCCAAAAAGGGACCCAAAUAAGCAUUUUUCUUGGUUUUCUCACCAUAACGUUAGUAUAAGUAAAUAGAAAUCUAUGAUAUUUAAACACAAGGUUUAUGACCAUAAAAGGAAGGUUGGUAUUGAUUUUGGGAGUUUUGGUCCCAACAGAAUAAGGGGCCCAAAGGGUCCAAAAUUAAACUUUGUUUGAUUUCAUCAAAAUUGAAUAAUUGGGGUUCUUUGAUAUGCCGAAUCUAACUGUGUAUGUAGAUUCUUAACUUUUGGUCCCGUUUUCAAAUUGGUCUACAUUAAGGUCCAAAGGGUCCAAAAUUAAACUUAGUUUGAUUUUGACAAAAAAUGAAUCAGUUAGGUUCUUUGAUAUGCUGAAUCUAAAAAUGUACUUAGAUUCUUGAUUUUUUGGCC
This 884-nucleotide long non-coding RNA is filed under the name Mytilus galloprovincialis (Mediterranean mussel). The record is from RNAcentral. Lineage: Eukaryota; Metazoa; Mollusca; Bivalvia; Mytilida; Mytilidae.